UACAGAGGGUGCGAGCGUUGUUCGGAAUUAUUGGGCGUAAAGGGCGCGUAGGCGGUGCAGUAGUCACCUGUGAAAUCUCCUGGCUCAACUGGGAGCUUGCAGGCGAAACUGCCGUGCUCGAGUGUGGGAGAGGUGAGUGGAAUUCCCGGUGUAGCGGUGAAAUGCGUAGAUAUCUGGAGGAACACCGGUGGCGAAGGCGGCAUUCUGGACCGAUAUUGACGCUGAGGAGCGAAAGCCAGGGGAGCAAACGGG
RNAcentral lists this ribosomal RNA (252 nucleotides) under uncultured bacterium. Its description in RNAcentral is "partial 16S ribosomal RNA". It matches the Rfam family "Bacterial small subunit ribosomal RNA", at positions 524 to 776 of the family's 1533-position model. The record is from RNAcentral.